CCUACGGGAGGCAGCAGUGAGGAAUAUUGGUCAAUGGACGAGAGUCUGAACCAGCCAAGUAGCGUGAAGGAUGACUGCCCUAUGGGUUGUAAACUUCGUUUAUAUGGGAAUAAAAUGUUCCACGUGUGGGCUUUUGUAUGUACCAUAUGAAUAAGGAUCGGCUAACUCCGUGCCAGCAGCCGCGGUAAUACGGAGGAUCCGAGCGUUAUCCGGAUUUAUUGGGUUUAAAGGGAGCGUAGGUGGAUUGUUAAGGCAGUUGUGAAAGUUUGCGGCUAAACCGUAAAAUUGCAGUUGAAACUGGCAGUCUUGAGUACAGUAGAGGUGGGCGGAAUUCGUGGUGUAGCGGUGAAAUGCUUAGAUAUCACGAAGAACUCCGAUUGCGAAGGCAGCUCACUGGACUGCAACUGACACUGAGGCUCGAAAGUGUGGGUAUCAAACAGGAUUAGAUACCCUAGUAGUC
This 460-nucleotide ribosomal RNA is filed under the name uncultured bacterium. RNAcentral's name for it is "partial 16S ribosomal RNA". It matches the Rfam family "Bacterial small subunit ribosomal RNA", at positions 338 to 795 of the family's 1533-position model. The record is from RNAcentral.